GACAGAGGGUGCAAACGUUGUUCGGAAUUACUGGGCGUAAAGCGCGUGUAGGCGGCUAUGUAAGUCGGGCGUGAAAUCCCACGGCUCAACCGUGGAAGUGCACCCGAAACUGCGUAGCUAGAGUCCUGGAGAGGAAGGUGGAAUGCUUGGUGUAGAGGUGAAAUUCGUAGAUAUCAAGCGGAACACCGGUGGCGAAGGCGGCCUCUGGACAGUGACUGACGCUGAGACGCGAAAGCGUGGGGAGCAAACAGGG
RNAcentral lists this ribosomal RNA (253 nucleotides) under uncultured bacterium. RNAcentral describes it as "partial 16S ribosomal RNA". It matches the Rfam family "Bacterial small subunit ribosomal RNA", at positions 524 to 777 of the family's 1533-position model. The record is from RNAcentral.